Molecule: long non-coding RNA, 450 nt
Organism: Epinephelus moara (kelp grouper)
Lineage: Eukaryota; Metazoa; Chordata; Actinopteri; Perciformes; Serranidae
Exons: 4
Source: RefSeq, a predicted model, not a curated record
UGGCCACCGAAUCGUCUGAUGGACCGAGCCGCACCAGCUGAGCCACCUGCCAGAAGCUUCACUCUGAUUGGCUGUCCAACAGGAAAUGGAAAACAAAUCAAGACCAGAGGAUGAAGUUGCAAAUUUAACUCUGAGGGGCGAACCAUCAACGAAACGGCCCAGCGAUCCCACUGACAGAGCAGGAGGAAGGCCGGUAUAGAGGUUUGACCAUGCGUGACCGCCGCCCCGCCCUCAACGAACCCCCGACAGAGAGAUCAUGAUCACUGGACGGCGAGGCUUUCAGCUCACAGCCCGCGUGUCUGUUUCUCCAACAUGCAACAACGUUCGUCAGAGCUGUCGGUUCCUCGUCUGAACCCAGAGAAGAUACUGAACCGUCAUCAGCUGCUCUGAAAACAGAUUUACAAACUGGACAGAUGCUACAAGUUGACGAAAACUUGACUCCUGCAGAGG